AGGAUGAACGCUGGCGGCGUGCUUAACACAUGCAAGUCGAACGAUGAAGCAGAGCUUGCUCUGUGGGUUAGUGGCGAACGGGUGAGUAACACGUGAGUAACCUGCCCUUGACUCUGGAAUAAGCGUUGGAAACGACGUCUAAUACCGGAUACGAGCUUCCGCCGCAUGGUGAGGAGCUGGAAAGAAUUUCGGCAAGGAUGGACUCGCGGCCUAUCAGGUAGUUGGUGAGGUAAUGGCUCACCAAGCCUACGACGGGUAGCCGGCCUGAGAGGGUGACCGGCCACACUGGAACUGAGACACGGUCCAGACUCCUACGGGAGGCAGCAGUGGGAAUAUUGCACAAUGGGCGCAAGCCUGAUGCAGCAACGCCGCGUGAGGACGACGGCCUCGGUUGUAAACCUCUUUAGUAGGAAGAAGGACUUGGUCUGACGGUACCUGCAGAAAAAGCACCGGACUAACGUACGUAGCCAGCAGCCGC
This 478-nucleotide ribosomal RNA is filed under the name uncultured soil bacterium. RNAcentral describes it as "bacterial SSU rRNA". It matches the Rfam family "Bacterial small subunit ribosomal RNA", at positions 26 to 518 of the family's 1533-position model. The record is from RNAcentral.